This is a long non-coding RNA of Populus euphratica (Euphrates poplar), 393 nucleotides long. RefSeq lists it as uncharacterized. The transcript is spliced from 3 exons. Lineage: Eukaryota; Viridiplantae; Streptophyta; Magnoliopsida; Malpighiales; Salicaceae. The record is from RefSeq and is a predicted model, not a curated record.
UGUGCUGAGUUUAGUCCCACCGCCCCUCCCUCUUUUCUUAUGCAGUUCUAUCUUUUCAACUUGCAGGGCUUUCAAUUCUGUCUCAGAACCUACAAAUUCAUUACACACACACACACACACACACAUGAAUGUGUAAAUGACUUACAGAUUACAUCAAUUAAAAUGGAAAUGCAUGAUUAAAGAAUGCAAUCGCUUCAGUUAUCAGUUACUCAAUUCAAGUUUAUUUAUAUAUAUAUAAAUACCAUCACUUGAUCUGUGCACGCUCACAAAUUAGAGGUAACUAAACAAUUAUCCAAGUAAGGGAGGGAACCCUACAGAAUGCUCGAUUUUCCUAGCUAAGUGAUUAAUAUAUUUAGUACAAGAUUAUCAUGGAAAUGAACACAUCUAAUUUUC